RNAcentral lists this ribosomal RNA (1499 nucleotides) under Weissella confusa. Its description in RNAcentral is "bacterial SSU rRNA". It matches the Rfam family "Bacterial small subunit ribosomal RNA". The record is from RNAcentral. Lineage: Bacteria; Bacillati; Bacillota; Bacilli; Lactobacillales; Lactobacillaceae.
GAUGAACGCUGGCGGCGUGCCUAAUACAUGCAAGUCGAACGCUUUGUGGUUCAACUGAUUUGAAGAGCUUGCUCAGAUAUGACGAUGGACAUUGCAAAGAGUGGCGAACGGGUGAGUAACACGUGGGAAACCUACCUCUUAGCAGGGGAUAACAUUUGGAAACAGAUGCUAAUACCGUAUAACAAUGACAACCGCAUGGUUGUUAUUUAAAAGAUGGUUCUGCUAUCACUAAGAGAUGGUCCCGCGGUGCAUUAGCUAGUUGGUAAGGUAAUGGCUUACCAAGGCGAUGAUGCAUAGCCGAGUUGAGAGACUGAUCGGCCACAAUGGGACUGAGACACGGCCCAUACUCCUACGGGAGGCAGCAGUAGGGAAUCUUCCACAAUGGGCGAAAGCCUGAUGGAGCGACGCCGCGUGUGUGAUGAAGGGUUUCGGCUCGUAAAACACUGUUGUAAGAGAAGAAUGACAUUGAGAGUAACUGUUCAAUGUGUGACGGUAUCUUACCAGAAAGGAACGGCUAAAUACGUGCCAGCAGCCGCGGUAAUACGUAUGUUCCAAGCGUUAUCCGGAUUUAUUGGGCGUAAAGCGAGCGCAGACGGUUAUUUAAGUCUGAAGUGAAAAGCCCUCAGCUCAACUGAGGAAUUGCUUUGGAAACUGGAUGACUUGAGUGCAUACAGGAAAGUGGAACUCCAUGGGUACCGGCGAAAUGCGUAGAUAUAUGGAAGAACACCAGUGGCGAAGGCGGCUUUCUGGACUGUAACUGACGUUGAGGCUCGAAAGUGUGGGUAGCAAACAGGAUUAGAUACCCUGGUAGUCCACACCGUAAACGAUGAGUGCUAGGUGUUUGAGGGUUUCCGCCCUUAAGUGCCGCAGCCAACGCAUUAAGCACUCCGCCUGGGGAGUACGACCGCAAGGUUGAAACUCAAAGGAAUUGACGGGGACCCGCACAAGCGGUGGAGCAUGUGGUUUAAUUCGAAGCAACGCGAAGAACCUUACCAGGUCUUGACAUCCCUUGACAACUCCAGAGAUGGAGCGUUCCCUUCGGGGACAAGGUGACAGGUGGUGCAUGGUUGUCGUCAGCUCGUGUCGUGAGAUGUUGGGUUAAGUCCCGCAACGAGCGCAACCCUUAUUACUAGUUGCCAGCAUUCAGUUGGGCACUCUAGUGAGACUGCCGGUGACAAACCGGAGGAAGGUGGGGAUGACGUCAAAUCAUCAUGCCCCUUAUGAUCUGGGCUACACACGUGCUACAAUGGCGUAUACAACGAGUUGCCAACCCGCGAGGGUGAGCUAAUCUCUUAAAGUACGUCUCAGUUCGGAUUGUAGGCUGCAACUCGCCUACAUGAAGUCGGAAUCGCUAGUAAUCGCGGAUCAGCACGCCGCGGUGAAUACGUUCCCGGGUCUUGUACACACCGCCCGUCACACCAUGAGAGUUUGUAACACCCAAAGCCGGUGGGGUAACCUUCGGGAGCCAGCCGUCUAAGGUGGGACAGAUGAUUAGGGUG